AGUGAACGCUGGCGGUAGGCCUAACACAUGCAAGUCGAACGGCAGCACAGUAAGAGCUUGCUCUUACGGGUGGCGAGUGGCGGACGGGUGAGGAAUACAUCGGAAUCUACUUUUUCGUGGGGGAUAACGUAGGGAAACUUACGCUAAUACCGCAUACGACCUACGGGUGAAAGCAGGGGAUCUUCGGACCUUGCGCGAUUGCAUGAGCCGAUGUCGGAUUAGCUAGUUGGCGGGGUAAAGGCCCACCAAGGCGACGAUCCGUAGCUGGUCUGAGAGGAUGAUCAGCCACACUGGAACUGAGACACGGUCCAGACUCCUACGGGAGGCAGCAGUGGGGAAUAUUGGACAAUGGGCGCAAGCCUGAUCCAGCCAUACCGCGUGGGUGAAGAAGGCCUUCGGGUUGUAAAGCCUUUUUGAUGGGAAAGAAAAGCAGCAGGUUAAUACCCCGCUGUUCUGACGGUACCCAAAGAAUAAGCACCGGCUAACUUCGUG
RNAcentral lists this ribosomal RNA (492 nucleotides) under uncultured bacterium. RNAcentral describes it as "partial 16S ribosomal RNA". It matches the Rfam family "Bacterial small subunit ribosomal RNA", at positions 29 to 507 of the family's 1533-position model. The record is from RNAcentral.